CAAUGACAAUGGUCACAUGUAAGCUUAUGUUAUUGCUCUCUACGCACUGCCACCUUUUUCACUAUUCAUAAUAUCCAGUGCCAGGAUUUAAUAAUA
Molecule: non-coding RNA, 96 nt
Filed under: Chattonella subsalsa
Lineage: Eukaryota; Raphidophyceae; Chattonellales; Chattonellaceae
Source: RNAcentral